This 575-nucleotide unclassified non-coding RNA is filed under the name Desmoscelis villosa. RNAcentral describes it as "partial may contain 26S ribosomal RNA, external transcribed spacer, 18S ribosomal RNA". Lineage: Eukaryota; Viridiplantae; Streptophyta; Magnoliopsida; Myrtales; Melastomataceae. The record is from RNAcentral.
GGCUUGUCCGGGUCUCGUCUCGAUCAUCCGGUCGCUCCUCCUUUUCGAGGGGGCGUCGGGUGUUCGGGCCUUACCUCGGGCAGCGUUGGGACGACGCAUGAGUGGCGAUUUGGAUAUGUUCCCAAUGCAGGCUCCGUGCUUCUCGCAUCGAACUGCUUCGGUCUGUCCGUUUCAUUUGAUCGUUCGCCUCGAUGCCCCGAGGGCCGAUCGCGAGUGAUGGGUGGGUUCCUGUGCUUGAUACCCGAAUGCGGUACUCGGAUUCAAUGUCGUCCACSUCCCGGUUCCCUUCUUCCACCUCCGCCUCGCGUGCGCUGGUGGAUAUCGUGCGGGCAUCGACGCUUUCCCCCCGGGCGUUCGUCCACCUCUGGGCGUUUCUGCUCGGGUCGGCGCGUCGGUGCCGUCCGCGUGCUCUCGGGUACGGAGAUAUCUAAUGCCGUCGCGCGGUCCUCUUUUGGCCGUUGCGAUCUCGACGUGUCGAAGCUUCUUUGCUUCCGCUCGGGUGACCCUCGUGCUUUCCUCGGCGCUCGCGGAGCCUCGUCGCCCCGCGUUCGUCCCUGGGAGGCCUCGAGGUCUAC